This 1030-nucleotide ribosomal RNA is filed under the name uncultured bacterium. RNAcentral's name for it is "bacterial SSU rRNA". It matches the Rfam family "Bacterial small subunit ribosomal RNA", at positions 470 to 1501 of the family's 1533-position model. The record is from RNAcentral.
UGAUGUUACCUGCAGAAUAAGCACCGGCUAAUUCCGUGCCAGCAGCCGCGGUAAUACGGAAGGUGCAAGCGUUAAUCGGAAUUACUGGGCGUAAAGCGCGCGUAGGUGGUUUGUUAAGUUGGAUGUGAAAGCCCUGGGCUCAACCUAGGAACUGCAUCCAAAACUGGCUAACUAGAGUACGAUAGAGGGAGGUAGAAUUCAUAGUGUAGCGGUGGAAUGCGUAGAUAUUAUGAAGAAUACCAGUGGCGAAGGCGGCCUCCUGGAUCUGUACUGACACUGAGGUGCGAAAGCGUGGGUAGCGAACAGGAUUAGAUACCCUGGUAGUCCACGCCGUAAACGAUGACAACUAGCUGUUGGGAGGCAUUGCCUUUCAGUGGCGCAGCUAACGUUUUAAGUUGUCCGCCUGGGGAGUACGGCCGCAAGGCUAAAACUCAAAUGAAUUGACGGGGACCCGCACAAGCGGUGGAGCAUGUGGUUUAAUUCGAUGCAACGCGAAAAACCUUACCUACUCUUGACAUACUUGGAGGCUCUUGUAAUGAGAGUGUGCCUUUUGGAACCAAGAUACAGGUGCUGCAUGGCUGUCGUCAGCUCGUGUCGUGAGAUGUUCCGUUAAGUCGGAUAACGAGCGCAACCCUUACCCUUAUUUGCCAGCGAUUCGGUCGGGAACUAUAAGGGGACUGCCGGUGAUAAACCGGAGGAAGGUGAGGACGACGUCAAGUCAUCAUGGCCCUUACGAGUAGGGCUACACACGUGCUACAAUGGGGAAUACAGACGGACGCUAAGCCGCGAGGUGGUGCUAAUCCUAAAAAGUUCUUCGUAGUCCGGAUUGGAGUCUGCAACUCGACUCCAUGAAGUCGGAAUCGCUAGUAAUCGCGGAUCAGCAUGCCGCGGUGAAUACGUUCUCGGGUCUUGUACACACCGCCCGUCACACCAUGGAAGUGGAUUGCACCAGAAGUAGAUAGUCUAACCUUAGGGAGGGCGUUUACCACGGUGUGCUUCAUGACUGGGGUGAAGUCGUAACAAGGUAACC